This is a non-coding RNA of Chlorocebus sabaeus (green monkey), 2610 nucleotides long. Lineage: Eukaryota; Metazoa; Chordata; Mammalia; Primates; Cercopithecidae. The record is from RefSeq and is a predicted model, not a curated record.
GCUGUGUUGCCCUGGCUGGUCUUGAACUCCUGGGCUCAAGUAAUCUUCCUGCCUCAGCCUAGUAAAGUGCUAGGAUUACAGGUGUGAGCCACCAUGAAACCUGGCCCAAAAUAACUUCCUUUGAACAUUUCUUAAUGUGUAAUUAAUUAAUUCAAAUCAAUAUUUAACUUUAACCUCUGAUGAGUGUUUUCUAAAAGAUGAGGCUGGGUUGGAAAGCAAGGGGAGAAGCCCACUGUCCACAGGUGGCUGCAGAUGCCAGGGGCACUUUCUCGCUGGAGUCUGCCCGGCUGUCGGAGGUUAUAUGUGGCAGGAGCAGUGAGCGUCAGGUCCAGGGUGUUUGGCUUACAGAGCGGGAAGCCCGCACACCCACUUGGAGUGUGGGUCGGACAAGAUGGCACAGUGGUGGGGUUUGCUUUCCAUCUGGGCCAUGAGUGUCCUCCCUGCAAGUGACGUUUUGGCUCCACCACCUCUGAGGGUGCACCAUGGAGGUGAUUUCAGCCCAGGUUUACUUCUCCUUGGAUUUCAGGAUGAGAUGAGAGUGGGGAAAAGAAUUCCCUUAAAGCCUUGCAUUGAGGGGAAGGGGAGUUAAAUUAGUUUGAUCUGUUUUGUUUGGGAGGCAAUUCAAAGGGAUUUAAACAUUGUUCAGGGUUCUUACUGUACAGUUCUCCAAAGAGUUUUGUUAUGAAAAGGUUCUAGAUGAUUUAGUUGAUGUGAAUCACGCGUAAAUCGAGGGACAGAGGCCCUGGGGAGUUGGUGCUAGGCAGCCCCUCAUCUCCUGUUUGCUCACCGUGUGCACGAAGGAUGCCGGCCCAGGACACGUGCGUGCAGAUGCUGAAGACCGCAGGCUCCAGUUCUCAUCCACUGUGUGGGCUGACUCAUGCUGAUGGCUUUGCUGCCUAGCUCUCCUGAUGUCUCGCCCUGUCCCCAGAGAAGAACCAAAGAUGAUACCUGGAAAGCAGAUGACCUCAGAAAACAUCUCUGGGCCAUACAGUCAGGCGGUUCCAAGGAAGAAAAGAAGCACAGAGAGAAGAAGCUGCUUAGUCUGAAAUGGACCCUCCUGAACACAAGGAGUCGGUGGAGGGAUCCCCGACUCAGGGAUGCCAGGAGCAGAGAGCAGGGCACGAAGUCCACACUGCUAAGUGACAGGUCCUCGGGGGAGAGGGACAGGACAGACAGAGGGAGAGAAGAGAUGCAAAAGACCCGGGAGAAAGAAAAGCUGAAGGAGAAACAUCGAGGCAGAAAAGUCUCACAGCAGAGGAAAGGACAGGGAAAAAGAAAAAGACAGAAGGGCCCAGAAGGAAGAGCUCGCAGACCGUGGCCCGUCACAACCUGCUGGGCCAGGAGACACGACUGCAGCUCCUGAGCGGCGGAGAGGAAAGGCCGCUCAGUAAGUAAAGUAAGAAGUGAAGAGAAAGAUGAAGACUGAAAGAGGAGGACAAGACAGAGAAAGAAGAUACUGCAGAAAGAAAAAGCUGCAGUACGGAGACAGCAAGGACAACCCUCUCAAGUACUGGCUUUAUAAAGAAGAAGGUGACAGGAGACACAGGAAGCCUAGAGACCCAGAUCGAGACAAGAAACACCGAGAAAAAAGCAGCACAAGGGAAAAAAGAGAAAAAUAUUCCAAAGAGAAAAGUAAUUCAUUCUCUGAAAAAGAAGGGGAAGAAAGACAUAAAGAAAAGCGACACAAAGAAGUCCUUCAUUUUGAUGAUGAGAGGCACCGAACCAGUGUGGAUAGAAAAGAGAGAUCAGCAAAAGACGAGCACAAGAAAAGGGAAUCCAAGAACGGUGAACACAGAAAUCGAGGUGCAAGCUCAAAAAGAGAUGGGACCAGCAGCCAGUAUGCUGAGAAUUUAGUAAGGAAUCACGGAAAAGAUAAAGAUUCAAGACGGAAGCAUGGCCAUGAGGAAGGUUCUUCCGUGUGGUGGAAGCUGGACCAGAGGCCAGGAGGCGAGAGAGCACUGUGGUAGAGUCUUAUGGAAAUUGAAAAGGAAGAAACUGAUUUAGAGCAUGCUAGAGCUGAUGCAUAUACAGCCAGUUGUGAAGAUGAUUUUGAAGACUACGAAGAUGACUUUGAGGUUUGUGAUGGUGAUGAUGAUGAAAGCAGUAAUGAACCUGAGUCAAGAGAAAAAAUGGAAGAACUUCCUCUAGCUCAAAAAAAGGAAAUACAAGAAAUUCAAAGAGCUAUUAAUGCAGAAAAUGAAAGGAUUGGCGAGUUAUCUUUGAAACUGUUUCAGAAGCAAGGUAGAACAGAAUUUGAAAAGGAGCCCAGGACAGAUACAAACAGUUCCCUUUCCAGAGCCUCCGUUUGUGGAAUUUUUGUGGAUUUUGCCUCAGCUUCACACCGUCAAAAGAGUGGGACUCAGGCCCUUAAGCAAAAGAUGCGAAGUACAAAACUGCUUCGGCUCAUUGACUUAGAUUUUUCAUUUACUUUCUGGCUCUUGGAUCUACCACCAGUAAAUGAAUAUGACAUGUAUAUCAGAAACUUUGGGAAAAAAAAUACCAAGCAGGUAAAUAUGAGAUAUGUUAACUAAGUGAUAAAAUGCAAGUAAAGUCUAAUAGGAUAACUUUGUGUCUUCCUGAAUAUUGUUCUGCAAUAUUAGAACUUGGGGA